UACAGAGGGGGCUAGCGUUGUUCGGAAUCACUGGGUGUAAAGGGUGCGUAGGCUGUCCGUUAAGUCUGAUGUGAAAGCCCUGGGCUCAACUCAGGAAUUGCAUUGGAAACUGGCGGACUCAGAGUACCGGAGAGGGAAGCGGAAUUCCUGGUGUAGCGGUGGAAUGCGCAGAUAUCAGGAGGAACACCGAUGGCGAAGGCAGCUCGCUGGGACGGUACUGACGCUGAGGCGCGAAAGCGUGGGGAGCGAACAGG
This 254-nucleotide ribosomal RNA is filed under the name uncultured bacterium. RNAcentral describes it as "partial 16S ribosomal RNA". It matches the Rfam family "Bacterial small subunit ribosomal RNA", at positions 524 to 776 of the family's 1533-position model. The record is from RNAcentral.